Molecule: ribosomal RNA, 497 nt
Filed under: uncultured bacterium
Lineage: Bacteria
Description: partial 16S ribosomal RNA
Rfam family: Bacterial small subunit ribosomal RNA
Source: RNAcentral
GAUGAACGCUGGCGGCGUGCCUAAUACAUGCAAGUCGAGCGAACAGACGAUGAUCUUGCUCCUCUCACGUUUGCGGCGGACGUGUGAGUAACACGUGUAUAACCUACCUAUAAUUCUGGUAUAACUUCGCGAAACCGGAUCUUAUACCGGAUAAUAUAUUGAACCGCAUUGUUCAAUAGUGAAUUUCGGUUUUGCUGUCUCUUCUCGAUGGUUCCGCGCCGCUUUAGCUAGUUGGUAAUGUAACGGCUUACCAAGGCAACGAUGCGUAGCCGACCUGAGAGGGGGAUCGGCCACACUGGAACUGAGACACGGACAAGAGGACUACGGGAGGGAGCAGUAGGGAAUAUUCGGCAAUGGGGGAAAGCAUGACGGAGCAAGGGCGAGUGAGAGAUGAAGGUGUUCGGAUCGUAAAACUCUGUUAUUAGGGAAGAACAAAUGUGUAAGUAAAUAUGGACGUAUUGACGGUAACGAAUCAGAAAGCAACGGCUAACUACGUG